GCAGGUCUGGACCGCAAUGAAACUGGAAAUUCUUUCUUAGAACAAAGAACCUCCCUAAACCCACACCCUGAUCUGAUGUAAUCAGUCUACACCAAACACCAUACACCAAACACUGGCAUAUACCAGGGUUGGUGAACCAGAGCCUGUGGACCAGGUCAACUGCUGUACACAGCAGCCGGCCGUCCAGGCACCUGGAGACGGUGAACAAUGACGGAAAAUCUGUCAGAUCAACUCAAAGCCCUACCCACCUUGUCUCAACCAGCUGCAGAAUCCACGUCAGAAGGCCGUGAAUCUUGAUGAGCUCAUAGGCGGCUUUGGUUACAUGGGCGGCUUUCUGGAGCACGUCCAGGAUCAGAACCUGCGAGGGAUCACGUC
Brienomyrus brachyistius is the source of this 375-nucleotide long non-coding RNA. RefSeq lists it as uncharacterized. NCBI's taxonomy places the organism in Eukaryota, Metazoa, Chordata, Actinopteri, Osteoglossiformes, Mormyridae. The transcript has 3 exons. The record is from RefSeq and is a predicted model, not a curated record.